RNAcentral lists this ribosomal RNA (442 nucleotides) under uncultured bacterium. RNAcentral describes it as "partial 16S ribosomal RNA". It matches the Rfam family "Bacterial small subunit ribosomal RNA", at positions 338 to 795 of the family's 1533-position model. The record is from RNAcentral.
CCUACGGGUGGCAGCAGUGGGGAAUAUUGGACAAUGGGCGAAAGCCUGACCCAGCAACGCCGCGUGAAGGAAGACGGCUUUCGGGUUGUAAACUUCUUUUGUUAGGGAAGAGUAGAGACCGGUGCCUGACGAAUAGCCAACGCUUAACUACGUGCCAGCGGCCGCGGAAAUACGAAGGUGGCAAGCGUUGUCCGGAUUUACUGGGUGUAAAGGGCGUGUAGCGGGGUUGACAAGUCAGUUGUGAAAUCAUGCGGCUUAACCGGAGAACUGAAUUUGAAACUGGUGUUCUUGAGUACAGGAGAGGUAGGCGGAAUUCCGGGUGUAGCGGUGAAAUGCGUAGAUAUUAGGAGGAACACCGGUGGCGAAGGCGGCCUACUAGACUGUAACUGACGGUGAGGCUCGAAAGUGUGGGGAGCAAACAGGAUUAGAUACCCGAGUAGUC